This is a non-coding RNA of Peromyscus maniculatus bairdii (prairie deer mouse), 1123 nucleotides long. NCBI's taxonomy places the organism in Eukaryota, Metazoa, Chordata, Mammalia, Rodentia, Cricetidae. The record is from RefSeq and is a predicted model, not a curated record.
AUACACAGUGUUUUCAUGGGGAUGACUGGACUUCAUAAAUUUAUCACUGCCUGGCCAUGUGCAGCUUUUGAUCCUUCCUGCCGGGCCUGGUUGGAUCUGGGAGCGUUCAGUUGCCGCUCUGACACGUGUGUCUCUAUCCGUCUUCCUAUAUGUUGAACUUGGCUGUCCCCAUCAGAGACAGGAGGCAAUGCCAGCUCUUGAGGAAGCACAGGGGCUGGAAGGUGACAGCUGGCCUUGGGUGAGUGUGGACAUACCUUCCCAGAGGCAGACACGCACUUGCUGGAGCUUCUCGCGAGUGAGGUUUUACUGCUAGGCAUACCCUGUCUGGGCCCUGGUAUUGCCACCCAGGGAGGUUCCUACAAUGUGAUGCUGGCGAUGGAAAGACCUUGGAUUCGGCUGCCAUUUCCAUGUGACAAAGCCUGAGAUAGUCUGUCCUCCUCUGGGUCACAGGCUUGAGCGAAUGAGACAUUCUGUCUACGUGCCGAGAGCUCCUUGGAAGCAAAGCCUUGGUGGAGAUAAGGAAAGUCUCACAGCCCGCUGCUGGGCUUUGGAGGGGCCAGUGUAAGAUAAUUCUACCUGUGUCCAGUUGGGAAACAACAUAAAAACAAGCAAACAAAAAUCCAGGACACUGCUGCUCCAAGAGUGAUGAGACAGUGAGCUGUCUGGGAGCUGCUUCUGCAGGUGUCAUGGUCCCUCAGAAGGAAAAUUGCUUGAGUCAGGACUUCAGAAUCCUCACAUCUCUAGUGACUGGCAAGAACCACAGCCACAGACCACUGAAGUGGAACCGACUUUGGAGAUCAGAGAAUCCACGCUUACUCUUUUUCAGAUAUAUGAAAUGAGUCUCAGAAGGGGCAGGUACUCUGCCCACGGCUAUUCUUAAUGCAAUGCUCAACAGGUGUCUGUGCUACCAGGGCAGGGCACUGCAUGCAGGUCAUGGUCAAGGGUAGCCCUGUAGCUCCUAUCACAAUUCUCUGCUAUUAUUUGGUCUAGCAGUUCCCAGAAAGUUCAUUUGUUUUUAAAGCAGGAUGUAACCUUUCCCCCUGAUAAUGCAAUGCAAAUUGUGCCUUGGGUCCAACUGCUCAUCAGUCCUUGUCAUCAAGUUAGGAUGUCUGUCCCUUGAGAU